CAGCGGCCCUAGUGGCGAUCGUUAUUAUUGGGCCUAAAGCGUCCGUAGCCGGUUCGGUAAAUCUCUGGGUAAAUCGUUGGGCUUAACUCAGCGAAUUCUGGGGAGACUGCCGAACUUGGGACCGGGAGAGGUCGGAGGUACUCCAGGGGUAGGGGUGAAAUCCUGUAAUCCUUGGGGGACCACCGGUGGCGAAAGCGUCCGACCAGAACGGGUCCGACGGUAAGGGACGAAGCCCUGGGUCGCGAACCGGAUUAGAUACCCGAGUAGUCC
Molecule: ribosomal RNA, 270 nt
Filed under: uncultured archaeon
Lineage: Archaea
Description: partial 16S ribosomal RNA
Rfam family: Archaeal small subunit ribosomal RNA
Source: RNAcentral